GCGGAGGAAAAGAAACCAACAGGGAUUGCCCCAGUAACGGCGAGUGAAGCGGCAACAGCUCAAAUUUGAAAUCUGGUCCUCUAGGGGGCCCGAGUUGUAAUUUGAAGAGGAUGCUUUUGGCGAGGCGCCUUCCGAGUGCCCUGGAACGGGACGCCACAGAGGGUGAGAGCCCCGUAUGGUAGGACGCCGAGCCUCUGUAAAGCUCCUUCGACGAGUCGAGUAGUUUGGGAAUGCUGCUCAAAACGGGAGGUAAACCCCUUCUAAAGCUAAAUACCGGCCAGAGACCGAUAGCGCACAAGUAGAGUGAUCGAAAGAUGAAAAGCACUUUGAAAAGAGAGUUAAACAGCACGUGAAAUUGUUGAAAGGGAAGCGCUUGCGACCAGACUUGCGCCCGCCGGAUCAACCGUCGCUUGUCGGCGGCGCACUCCGGCGGGCUCAGGCCAGCAUCGGUUCGCCUGGGGGGAGAAAGGUGGCGGGAAUGUGGCUCCUCGGAGUGUUAUAGCCCGCCGCGCAAUACCCUCGGGCGGACCGAGGACCGCGCGU
Molecule: small RNA, 543 nt
Filed under: Fairmania singularis
Lineage: Eukaryota; Fungi; Ascomycota; Sordariomycetes; Microascales; Microascaceae
Description: eukaryotic LSU rRNA
Rfam family: Eukaryotic large subunit ribosomal RNA
Source: RNAcentral